RNAcentral lists this long non-coding RNA (2124 nucleotides) under Lactuca sativa (garden lettuce). RNAcentral's name for it is "long non-coding RNA (LSAT_LNC004743)". Lineage: Eukaryota; Viridiplantae; Streptophyta; Magnoliopsida; Asterales; Asteraceae. The record is from RNAcentral.
AUUACUCUCUCUCUCUCUCUCUCUCUCUCUCUCUCUCUCUCUCUCUCUCUCUCUCUCUCUCUCUUCUUUGUAGUACCACAACCGCUGCCCUACCGAAAGCCUUCUUCAAAAAAACCAUAAACCACCUCAAUCCAAUGGGUUAGGCUAUAAAGCAUCUCAAAUGGAGAGAUAAUGAGGGCUACAGAUCCGGCCCACGAUCCCUAGCCGUCUUUGCUUGCAGAGGUGUAGUUAAAAAGUUCCGUUAUCUAUUCUUCGACUUCAUAUUCUUUGUAGCAAUUAACUUCUUACCAAUUGCCUCAUCUCCUUUUCCCAGCAAGAAUCUAUAAGGUAUUUAAUGUCUUAUCCACAUGUAAUUUACAAAAUUUUGGUGUCGAUUGACAUGAUGGUUUGUUAGUCUUAAGUUAGUAGCUCGAUUCGGUUUGUUUUUUUAUACUCCAAUUUGAUAAUAACAUUUGUUAGUGAUAAGUAUCAAUAUGGUUUUUAUAAUUCGUGUCAUUUGGAUCUCUCGGUUCAUUUAACAGGUUGAAGAUCAAAUUGAAAAACAUAAUGGUAAUUAUUUUGGUUGUAGGUUUUGAUUUGGUUUUGGCUAGACUGCUGGAGUGGUUGAUGGUGGUUGCCAAAGUGGGCUAACAGUAGUAGUAGUAGUUGGAGGUAAAGGGGUCCGACAUUGACAUUGGUCAUCAAUAGUCACGGAGGCUUUCAACACUUGGGGCAUUUAAUUUAACAAAUAUAUAGGAAAUAAAUUAAUUAAAAAUACAUUAGUAAUUAAGAAAAAAAUAAUAUUUUUAGGUAUGUCAGGAUAAAAACAAAACUGAAAAAAAAUAAAAAAAAAAAUAAUAAUAAUUAUAAGGACCUUCCUUGUUAAAAAGAUAGAUAAUAACAAAACAGACAAACUUAUACAACUAUAGGGACUAUUCGGAUAAUUUCUCUUAAAACAAUAGAAUAAAAGGCAACCCAAAGUUGGCAGGUGAAGCGCCGAAUAUACUAUUGUCAAACAAAACAAUGGCGGCCAUGUCACCCGGGGCAAACCAGGGUUGGACAACGGCGAAGAAGACGCCGCCCCUCUAUAGCCACCGGAGACCGGCGAUUGUUCUUGGAUAAUCCGAUUCUUCGACAUGGCGGAAAAUGGAGGCGGAUGUUCUUGGUUUGUUGAUAUGCAGAGGGUGACAGGUUGUCGGUGGACGGUUGGUUUCAAAUCCAACCUCCUUUUGGUAUAAGCCAAUAAGGCGCCAUCCCAUCAGGAAUUUGGCUCUCUGGAACUGCAAUCGAAGGUAUAAAGUUAUUUGCAAUCGAUUUCCUGGUUUAUUUCUGUUUUGAAAAGAAAAAAAAAAAAAUCUACAUGGCGAUGCCAAACCGAUUGGUCGAACUAACAAAAAGAUCGAGAAGGAUUUUGUUCAAUUUUGAAAGCCUACCUUGUUCCAGUCAUUCUUACUAGUUAGGGACGGAAGAAGGCAGUUAGCAAAAGUUUGUGAGACAAAAAUAUCAUUCUAGUAUCUUGCUUUUAAUUAGCUCUGAAAACUGACGAGUCUCUUUGUCACUUUUAACGACAGAUGCCACAUUGACACACUCAAAAAGUUCUCCAGAUCUAUGCUGACGUGGUUCAUGGAAUGAACAGAUGAUAAGAAAUUCAAAUCUUUCGCAUGCCUACAAUAACUGUAUAAGGCCUAGGGGUGUCAAUUUAUGACACGACACGACAAAAAUACACGACACGAAACGAAAUCGGGACGAAAUCAAAAUUCGAAUUCGUUUUCGUGUCGUGUUCGUGUCAAGUUUAUAAAACACGAUGUCGUGUCGUGUCGUGUUCGUGUUUACAAAUCCACACGAAAUUGACACGAUUGAGCAUGUAUUUGUCGUAUUUUCGUGUUUGUCGUUUUUAUCGUGUUAUAUAUGAUUAAAUAUGAAUUAAAAAAAAUAAUAGUUAUGUAAUAUUAUCUUUGUUGUGUCGUGUCGUGUUGUCGUUUUUUAAUUGGUUCGUUUUCGUGUUAGUGAAAAAAAACACGACAUCGUGUCGUGUUCGUGUUACAAAAAACCUUAUCGUGUCGUGUCGUGUCAGACAAAAACACGACACGACGACCCGAUUUGACAGGCCUAAUAAGGCCACCACCGUUCCAAUUGAUAAUUUUU